RNAcentral lists this ribosomal RNA (294 nucleotides) under uncultured bacterium. RNAcentral describes it as "partial 16S ribosomal RNA". It matches the Rfam family "Bacterial small subunit ribosomal RNA", at positions 502 to 793 of the family's 1533-position model. The record is from RNAcentral.
UCCGUGCCAGCAGCCGCGGUAAUACGGAGGGUGCGAGCGUUAAUCGGAAUUACUGGGCGUAAAAGCGCAUGCAGGCGGCCUGUUAAGUCAGAUGUGAAAGCCCCGGGGCUUAAACCUCGGAAUUGCAUUUGAAACUGGCAGGCUAGAGUCUUGUAGAGGGGGUAGAAUUUCAGGUGUAGCGGUGAAAUGCGUAGAGAUCUGAAGGAAUACCAGUGGCGAAGGCGGCCCCCUGGACAAAGACUGACGCUCAGAUGCGAAAGCGUGGGGAGCAAACAGGAUUAGAUACCCUGGUAG